This 1162-nucleotide long non-coding RNA is filed under the name Ficedula albicollis (Collared flycatcher). Its description in RNAcentral is "lncRNA (ENSFALG00000029038.1)". Lineage: Eukaryota; Metazoa; Chordata; Aves; Passeriformes; Muscicapidae. The record is from RNAcentral.
CCCCCCCCCCCCCCCCCCCCCCCCCCCCCCCCCCCCCCCCCCCCCCCCCCCCCCCCCCCCCCCCCCCCCCCCCCCCCCCCCCCCCCCCCCGGGGGGGGGGGGAGGUGGCACCGUCCCUGUCCCUGUCCCCAGGGCUCCCAGUGGCUCCCAGUAAGUCCCAGUUCCCAGGAGUGGCCCCGCAGCCCAAAGGGACAGGAGGGGACAGCAGGACACCGCCCCAAAGUCCCCGUGUCCCCUCCAGGGUCCUUGGCACAGCAGGGAGCAGCGGUGGCACCUCCUGGUGUCACCUCAGGUGUUACUGCCUGGUGGCACCUCUGAUGUCACCUCUGGUGUCACCUCCUGGUGUCACCUCAGGUGUUCCCCCCCCCCCCCCCCCCCCCCCCCCCCCCCCCCCCCCCCCCCCCCCCUGCCUGGUGGCACCUCCCGUGUCCCCUCCAGGGUCCUUGGCACAGCAGGGAGCAGCGGUGGCACCUCCUGGUGUCACCUCAGGUGUUACUGCCUGGUGGCACCUCUGAUGUCACCUCAGGUGUUGCUGCCUGGUGGCAGCUCCUGGUGGCACCUCCAAGGUUCUUCAGUGUCACAUCCCAGGUGUCCCCAGGGUCGUGUUCUUGGUGUCCUCAAUGUCCUCGAUGUCACAUCUCCAGUGUCCCCAGUUCUCCAGUCCCAGUGUUCCCAAUGUCACACCCCUGGUGUCCCCGGUGUCCUGUUCCCAGUGUUCCCAAUGUCACAUCCGCAGUGUCACACCCCUGGUGUCCCCGGUGUCCUGUUCUCAGUGUCCCCAAUGUCACACCCCUGGUGUCCCCGGUGUCCCGUUCUCAGUGUCCCCAAUGUCACACCCCUGGUGUCCCCGGUGUCCCGUUCUCAGUCUUCUUGGUGUCCCAUUCCUGGUGUCCUUGGUGUCCCAUCCCAGUGUCCCCAAUGUCCCAUCCCAGUGUCCCCAGUGUCCCCGUGUCACAAGGUGAAGAUCUCGUCCUCGCUGUCCCCAGUGUCCCCAGUGUCCCCAGUGUCACAAGGUGAAGAUCUCGCCCUCGCUGUCCCCAGUGUCCCCAGUGUCCCCAGUGUCCCCCCCCCCCCCCCCCCCCCCCCCCCCCCCCCCCCCCCCCCCCCCCCCCCCCCCCCCCCCCCCCCCCCCCCCCCCCCCCCCCCCCCCCCCCCCCCCCCC